RNAcentral lists this ribosomal RNA (460 nucleotides) under uncultured bacterium. RNAcentral's name for it is "partial 16S ribosomal RNA". It matches the Rfam family "Bacterial small subunit ribosomal RNA", at positions 338 to 795 of the family's 1533-position model. The record is from RNAcentral.
CCUACGGGUGGCAGCAGUGAGGAAUAUUGGUCAAUGGACGAGAGUCUGAACCAGCCAAGUAGCGUGAAGGAUGACUGCCCUAUGGGUUGUAAACUUCUUUUAUAAAGGAAUAAAACGAGGCACGUGUGCUUUUUUGCAUGUACUUUACGAAUAAGGAUCGGCUAACUCCGUGCCAGCAGCCGCGGUAAUACGGAGGAUCCGAGCGUUAUCCGGAUUUAUUGGGUUUAAAGGGUGCGUAGGUGGGUUGUUAAGUCAGUUGUGAAAGUUUGGGGCUCAACCGUAAAAUUGCAAUUGAUACUGGCAGUCUUGAGUACAGGUGAGGUAGGCGGAAUUCGUGGUGUAGCGGUGAAAUGCUUAGAUAUCACGAAGAACCCCGAUUGCGAAGGCAGCUUACUAAACUGUGACUGACGUUGAUGCACGAAAGUGUGGGUAGCAAACAGGAUUAGAUACCCCGGUAGUC